UUAAUAGUUCCAUUGUUUAUUGGAAAUAUCAUUUCUCAGUUAGCUCCGCCCAUUAAAUUAAUAAAUCCCGCCCACUGGGACUGCUUUCUGGGACUGCUGGGACUGCUCUCUGGGACAGCUGGGACUGCUGGGACCGCUCUGGGACUGAUGUGAGACUGCUCUGGGACCGCAGUGGGACUGCUUUAGCAGUCCCAGAAAGCAGUCCCCGGGACUGCUCUGGGACUGCUUUGUGUCAGGUUGGGUCUGGUCGGUACUGUAUAGUAAAUUCAGUAUGCAGAUUGUUGAAGGGAAAACAUCAAGACAAGGCGAGGAAGACGACAAAAGAUGAUUACCCAGAUUGAGGAUCCCAGUGUUCUUUGUCUCAAGCUACUCAGCCUACGAGGAGAAAAUUAAAAGAUCUGUCAUGAAGAAGAGGCGGGUU
Saccostrea cuccullata (small rock oyster) is the source of this 421-nucleotide long non-coding RNA. RefSeq lists it as uncharacterized. NCBI's taxonomy places the organism in Eukaryota, Metazoa, Mollusca, Bivalvia, Ostreida, Ostreidae. The record is from RefSeq and is a predicted model, not a curated record. The transcript is spliced from 3 exons.